CGCAGAACCCAUCCAUAGCCCAUCGCCUUUGACCCCAUGACAGCAGACGAGAUCCAGAUCAUCAUAGCUGUACUGUAAUCCUGACGGUUGGGUCAGCUGCAUACCAACAGGGACAGUCCAAGCACAAGAGAAAACUGGAAUGAAGCCCCCUCCAACUAUCUCUCUAACCCCAGCCUCUAACCUCUGGGUCAUCCAGAUGUGAGCUGAAGCUUUGGAUGAGUCUUUUCUUAGGGGCUGCACUGGGAAACUGUGCACUACCAUAAAUGUUGCCUCUCCGGGGACACAGAUGGUCGAACUCAAGGGCAAGCCAUCCAAAAGCUUCCAUGUGGAUACGGUUGGUGAUUGAAGUGCGGAGCCCGACACAGAGCAUGACUCAGGCUAUCCACUCAUUAUCUCCUGCGGACGUCCAAUACUGCUCUAUAAUUUAAAAGGCUAUGCCUUCCCCUGCCAAUCACACCAUCUUGCCUGUCCUCAGGGCAACUGGUGUACGCCACAAUCUGAUACACCAGUGAUACUGUGAAAACACAUAUUUAGGCAACAACAUGUGCAAGACAAAAUGCCCAUCAGCAGUGUUUCUGUGUGUGCAGUUGUGUGUGAACUGGAAGAGCAGCGAAGCACUAAGUGUGGGAGGUUAAAGCAAAAUGUAGCUUUGAUGUGAGUACAAAUCUACAACUACUGUGGAAGUUCAGUGAGGCACUAAAUACAAGAAUGUGAACAUACCAGCCAUGACGUAACAAUAUGUAUGCUGACCUUCAGCUAGGAAACUGUUAGGAAUGUUCUCCAUUCAUGUAGACAAAGCUUGCCAGCAUGCCACCAAUUAAUAUUUAACACUGAACACAAAAUACAAGUAGG
Long non-coding RNA from Pelmatolapia mariae (spotted tilapia), 852 nucleotides. RefSeq lists it as uncharacterized. Lineage: Eukaryota; Metazoa; Chordata; Actinopteri; Cichliformes; Cichlidae. The transcript is spliced from 3 exons. The record is from RefSeq and is a predicted model, not a curated record.